CAACCAUUAUCCUUCUACUGCUGGAAGUACAUCAUAUCCUCAGUUUUUUCAUGUCUCGCCGUAUUCUAGUGGAUCCAGUGAUAGGAAUACAUGGGUUGGACUUUUGAAUGAUGUCAUCAAUAAAAAAAGCCAUGGAAUUGCAUGAUGAAUGUUGCUGCUUUAGAUUCUUGUCAAGAGAUGGUGUUGAUAUUCAUCAUUUCCCUAAGGUUAGUCUCUGUUUGUUCUUCGAAAGGUGUACUGAAAAAUUUGUUUGGUUUUUGUUUGUUAACAGCAUUGUAGACUUUAGGAUCGCACGAUCUUCUAGUCACCAGGCGCAUGGUGACACUACAAUUUUCAUACUACAGGAUACAGAUUGCAUUCAUACUGAAGCUAUUGCAAAAGAUCCUCAGCACUUCCGACAGAUUGUUGUUUUCCUGGUGGACAAAUUUUGGAUAGACAAUUCUCUUUUGAAG
Non-coding RNA from Arachis ipaensis, 452 nucleotides. NCBI's taxonomy places the organism in Eukaryota, Viridiplantae, Streptophyta, Magnoliopsida, Fabales, Fabaceae. The record is from RefSeq and is a predicted model, not a curated record.